UACGUAGGGAGCAAGCGUUUGUCCGGAAUCAUUGGGCGUAAAGAGCGUGUAGGCGGUCCUGUAAGUCCGCUGUGAAAGUCAAGGGCUCAACCCUUGAAUGCCGGUGGAUACUGCAGGACUAGAGUCCGGAAGAGGCGAGUGGAAUUCCUGGUGUAGCGGUGAAAUGCGCAGAUAUCAGGAGGAACACCGAUGGCGAAGGCAGCUCGCUGGGACGGUACUGACGCUGAGACGCGAAAGCGUGGGGAGCAAACAGG
RNAcentral lists this ribosomal RNA (254 nucleotides) under uncultured bacterium. RNAcentral's name for it is "partial 16S ribosomal RNA". It matches the Rfam family "Bacterial small subunit ribosomal RNA", at positions 524 to 776 of the family's 1533-position model. The record is from RNAcentral.